RNAcentral lists this transfer RNA (83 nucleotides) under Paucilactobacillus wasatchensis. RNAcentral's name for it is "Lactobacillus wasatchensis tRNA". It matches the Rfam family "tRNA". Rfam says of the family: Transfer RNA (tRNA) molecules are approximately 80 nucleotides in length. The record is from Rfam by way of RNAcentral. Lineage: Bacteria; Bacillati; Bacillota; Bacilli; Lactobacillales; Lactobacillaceae.
GCGGAUGUGGCGGAACUGGCAGACGCGCUAGAUUUAGGUUCUAGUGUCUUUUGGACAUGGGGGUUCGAGUCCCUUCAUCCGCA